AAGAAUUUCAAUACAGUGACCACAGAGCAUUAGCACCCAAGCAGGACCUGCUGAACCUGGGGCCCUAUAGGAGAGCACUGAUGGCCCACCCCUGAUUGUGGCCCUGGUCUUCAUGUCUGCAUCAGCCUCAGCCAUCUCAAGACCACAACAGGAACAUAGCCAAGUCAGAGAAGGAAGACCAAAAGCACCAGGGCCCUUCAUAUUAUUAAGCUGCUAAAUUAACUAAUCUUGGAAACUUCUAGACUCUACAAUUCUUGUUGUAUGAGAGUGGAUUGACAAUUAUUCUCUGGACUUUUUGGUAACCAAGAACUUCUAGCAACUAACCCUGGCAUGACCACCAGAAUCUGCAGGGCUGAGAGAAGAAAGAAAGGCAAAAGUGGAUGAAUGCAGCUGAAGAUGCUGUGGAACUCCUAUCACAUUCCAAGUGCUGUGUUGAUAUCUGGAGAUAUAGACAAGAUCGAAGCAGAUGCAGUCUUUCACAUGAAUAUUUGAAUCAGGCAGUAUGUUCCCCAAAUUAGCAAAGUAUCUCCCAGAUUUUUUCUUUGAUGAUAUAUUUGAAAUCCUAAUGCUGAAAGUUAAAUUAUCAGGGUUUUAAAACUAGAAGCAGUCAUUAUCAGAAUUUUAUAUACUAUUUAUUUUUAAGAACGUAAUUUGACUGUUUAAGUCUUAUUAUAAUUUUAAGUGAAGUACUUUGGGCAGUCAUAAAUAAAGUAAUGGGCAGGUAUUUAGUAUUCAUAUUGUGUGGAUUCAUAUCCAUACUCUGCCACUCAGUAUCUCUGGGAUUUUGAUGAAUGAUCAAACUCUCUGAGCCUCAGUUUUCUAAUCUGUAAAGCAGAAAUGAUAAUGGUAUGUAGUGAUAAUUAAACAAUUUACUAGUUGUAAGUGCUUAGAACAGUUCCUGGAAUAGAGAAAAUUUGCAGAGAGAUUUUUAUUGUUUACAAUUUAGUUAAUGGAAUGGCUUCAAUAAUACAGUAAAAUUAAGAUAUUCAAACAAGCAGGAUGCAGGUGAUGGGUAUUGGCCUCAGCUUUAGAGACCAGAGGUUAAAUCUCAGUGCUGCCUGCCACAAAACGAUCCAUGUAAGUCAAUAAACAAUGCUUUUUAAAAUAUUAUUAUAAAGAUAUAGUGUGUGGAUCCCUCUCAAUUGUCCAUUCUUCCCUGUCACAAAAAUUUGCCUGCUUUUCGUUACCAUGUGAGAGGCAAAUGAAUUGAACUAAAUGGUUUCUAAUGCCCUGUCCACCUCUAAAAUUCUAUAGAACUGUGAUUUGAUUCCAAUGGGCCAUAUCAGGACUCGGCAUUAUUUUCAUCAGUGAACCAUUUCAUUAGAAAUUUAUUUUUCCAAAUGAUAUUAGUAAAUAUUGAAGGAGGCUUCUCCCACAGAGCUUCUUGUACAAAUUAAAACAGGGCAGUAGAAGGUUUUCAGGUUGGUGAAGUCAACUCUGGCUUUUAGUCAACCAUUCCAAAAAAACAUUUUCUUUAGAAUCCAAGGGCUUGCAAUUGUUCUGAAUAAAGCAUAAAGAAGCUGUUCUGAUUUAUUAAAUAAAAAGAGUACCAAAUAUAUGAUUUUUAAAAUGUUUCAAA
RNAcentral lists this long non-coding RNA (1579 nucleotides) under Homo sapiens (human). RNAcentral describes it as "long intergenic non-protein coding RNA 2612". The record is from RNAcentral. Lineage: Eukaryota; Metazoa; Chordata; Mammalia; Primates; Hominidae.